GACGAACGCUGGCGGCGUGCUUAACACAUGCAAGUCGAACGGAAAGGCCCUGCUUUUGUGGGGUGCUCGAGUGGCGAACGGGUGAGUAACACGUGAGUAACCUGCCCUUGACUUUGGGAUAACUUCAGGAAACUGGGGCUAAUACCGGAUAGGAGCUCCUGCUGCAUGGUGGGGGUUGGAAAGUUUCGGCGGUUGGGGAUGGACUCGCGGCUUAUCAGCUUGUUGGUGGGGUAGUGGCUUACCAAGGCUUUGACGGGUAGCCGGCCUGAGAGGGUGACCGGCCACAUUGGGACAGAGAUACGGACCAGACUCCUACGGGAGGCAGCAGUGGGGAAUAUUGCACAAUGGGCGGAAGCCUGAUGCAGCAACGCCGCGUGCGGGAUGACGGCCUUCGGGUUGUAAACCGCUUUCGCCUGUGACGAAGCGUGAGUGACGGUAAUGUGUAAAGAAGCACCGGCUAACUACGUG
RNAcentral lists this ribosomal RNA (468 nucleotides) under uncultured bacterium. RNAcentral describes it as "partial 16S ribosomal RNA". It matches the Rfam family "Bacterial small subunit ribosomal RNA", at positions 28 to 507 of the family's 1533-position model. The record is from RNAcentral.